UCAGGAUGAACGCUGGCGGUAUGCUUAACACAUGCAAGUCGAACGGGCUCUUCGGAGCUAGUGGCGGACGGGUGAGUAACGCGUGAGAAUCUGGCUUCAGGUUCGGGACAACAGUUGGAAACGGCUGCUAAUACCGGAUGUGCCCUUGGGUGAAAGAUUUAUCACCUGAAGAUGAGCUCGCGUCUGAUUAGCUAGUAGGUGUGGUAAGAGCGCACCUAGGCGACGAUCAGUAGCUGGUCUGAGAGGAUGACCAGCCACACUGGGACUGAGACACGGCCCAGACUCCUACGGGAGGCAGCAGUGGGGAAUUUUCCGCAAUGGGCGAAAGCCUGACGGAGCAAUACCGCGUGAGGGGGGAAGGCUCUUGGGUUGUAAACCUCUUUUCUCAGGGAAGAAGUUCUGACGGUACCUGAGGAAUCAGCAUCGGCUAACUCCGUGCCAGCAGCCGCGGUAAUACGGAGGAUGCAAGCGUUAUCCGGAAUGAUUGGGCGUAAAGCGUCCGCAGGUGGCAAUGUAAGUCUGCUGUCAAAGCGUCUGGCUCAACCAGAUAAAGGCAGUGGAAACUACAUAGCUAGAGUAAGGUAGGGGUAGAGGGAAUUCCUG
RNAcentral lists this ribosomal RNA (603 nucleotides) under uncultured bacterium. RNAcentral describes it as "bacterial SSU rRNA". It matches the Rfam family "Bacterial small subunit ribosomal RNA", at positions 24 to 672 of the family's 1533-position model. The record is from RNAcentral.